This 485-nucleotide ribosomal RNA is filed under the name uncultured Glomus. RNAcentral's name for it is "SSU rRNA". It matches the Rfam family "Eukaryotic small subunit ribosomal RNA", at positions 584 to 1073 of the family's 1831-position model. The record is from RNAcentral. Lineage: Eukaryota; Fungi; Glomeromycota; Glomeromycetes; Glomerales; Glomeraceae.
UCCAGCUCCAAUAGCGUAUAUUAAAGUUGUUGCAGUUAAAAAGCUCGUAGUUGAAUUUCGGGGUCAGUAGGUCGGUCGUGCCACUGGUAUGAACUGGUUUUACUGAUUCCUCCCUCUUGAAGAACUGUAAUGCCAUUAAUUUGGUGUUGCAGGGAAUCAGGACUGUUACUUUGAAAAAAUUAGAGUGUUUAAAGCAGGCUUUAGCUUGAAUACAUUAGCAUGGAAUAAUGAAAUAGGACGUUUGAUCCUAUUUUGUUGGUUUCUAGGAUUGACGUAAUGAUUAAUAGGGAUAGUUGGGGGCAUUAGUAUUCAAUUGUCAGAGGUGAAAUUCUUGGAUUUAUUGAAGACUAACUACUGCGAAAGCAUUUGCCAAGGAUGUUUUCAUUAAUCAAGAACGAAAGUUAGGGGAUCGAAGACGAUCAGAUACCGUCGUAGUCUUAACCAUAAACUAUGCCGACUAGGGAUCGGAUGAUGUUAAUUUUUUA